Molecule: long non-coding RNA, 3809 nt
Organism: Zeugodacus cucurbitae (melon fly)
Lineage: Eukaryota; Metazoa; Arthropoda; Insecta; Diptera; Tephritidae
Exons: 2
Source: RefSeq, a predicted model, not a curated record
UGAAAAAUAAUAAUAAAUUUGAAUUUCAAUAGUUGUUUUAUUGUAUCAAUGAUUUGACUUUUGAGUAAAUUUUUUGCUAAUUUUGAUGUUCUCCACAUUCACCAACUUUGGGCAGUUCUGGACAAAAAACUAAUGCAGAUAGAAUCCUAAUACUUUAGGAAAAUAAUGUAUAGAUAGUUGGUAACAAACUGUGAAAUUUUCAUUCAAAUCAGACAACAUGCCAUUUUUGAAUUUCAGCCACGGAAAUCACUAUGUGCACCGUCUUGUAGGGUACUGUUCAUCGGACUUUAAAAUUUUUGUAAAGAUUAAAUGCUAGCACAACACCAUAAUUACCACAAUUGUAGCAAAAAAAAGCGUAGCACACAACACAAAUACGCCUCGGUGGUGUGUAAAAUGAUGUAAAAUAAUGUAAGCAAACCAGUGGUUUUCUACUGUAUAUACUGAGUACUAAUAUAUAAAAUAACAAAAAUUAAACUGGUGGUGCAUAUGGGCAUUUCCGUCGAACGUGACGUGACAAUCGUACACAUUUGAACUAAAAAAAAAUUAUGAGCUAAAAUAUUUUUUAAAUUUGACAGUAAGAUUUUUUAAUAGCUCUUUAUUCUUUAGUGUUAAAGUUGAUUUUUCAACGAUUUUCAUUUUCAAUAUAAUUUCAAAAAAUUUUUGGCAUACGCACGGGACAAAAAAUGGAAGUUGAUUUUCCAGACUACGAUUCAAACGCCGAUUUCAGCGAGGUAAUAUUCAAAUGUUUUUGAUUGUAGAACGUUGUGCAUGGAUGCCUUUAAAAUUGGUAUGAAUUUCUCCCAAAAAUAAUUUAUAGUUUUUUAAUUAAAUAUUAACCACAUUCGCACUGGACAUUUUUUCCAUCAUAAUAUUUAUGUUGAUUUUGAUUUUAUAAUUCGGUCCAAUGUUAAAUAAGUCCAAUAAGAUCGUGUAAAAAAAGUAGUAAAUGUAUUUAUUUUUAAAUAACCUCAAACGAGAAGCACCACAAAAUUUUUCUAUAGUAUUUAAUGAAAAUAGUAUUAUGGAUACGAAGCAGCUUUUACUUCUUGACAAUCGCAAGAAAAGAAAUGAAAGUCGGAAUGCAUUUAACCAAUUUUUAUCUAAAUUUUAUAAUAAGGAAUGAUUUUCUCAGAUUGGCAUAAAAUUCAUAUCAACUAUCGCUCUACUAUUUUGUGCACAUUGAUAAAAUGAAAAUGCAUCGGGCAUAAAAAAAUGUUUGAAUUUUUUUAUGUGGCGGACUUUCCCUUUGAUAAAAAAAUUCCAUUCUAAUGAAGCAAACGAUUUUCUCCUGACAACCUUGUUAAAAUGAGCACUCUUAUUUUGAUUUCUAAUACGCUAGACAGACGACAAAGCUAUUCCCGAUUAAAUGGGAGUUAGCAAACGGAGUUAACUGAGAUAACUCUCGAAUUAACCCCUAUUAAAUGUUGCCAACGAAAAUGCCACGAACUCCCACUAACUCUCUAAAAUUUUGAGGAUUAAAUGGGAGUUAGCAAACGGAGUUAACUGAGAUAACUCUCGAAUUAACCCCGAUUAAAGCAGUUAUUCCGAAAUAACGCCGCCGUCUGUCAGGGGUAUAAGCCUAUAAAUUUCGCCAAAAUCUAUUUGAAUAGCUAGUUCAAUGGAAUUUAAAGCGCUGUUUUUGUUCGUAUGUAAAUAAAUAAUGUAAAAGUAUCUAUUUACAAACUUAAGUCAAUUUUAUAAGACAAAAACUAAUUUUCAAUUUUAAAUUCCACACCUACGUUGUCGCACGUGACUUACUUUCAGUAGUUACCAAAAUCACAAAUCUUCAGAUUUUUGAACAAGCCUUUUUAUACUCUCGCAACAAAGUUGCGAAAGAGAGUAUAAUAGUUUUGUUCACAUAACGGUUGUUUGUAACACCUAAAACAAAACGAGUUAGAUAUAGUGUUCUAUAUAGUAUACCAAAGUGAUCAGGGUGACGAGUAGAUUUCAAAUCCGGAUCAGUCCGUCUGUGCAAGCGAUAAUUUGAGUAAAAAUGGAGAUAUCUUAAUGAAUGGUACAUAUAUUCCUUGGCACCAUGAGACGGUUGGUAUUGAAAAUGGGAGUGGGCGUGGUCCCGCCCCCUAAUAGGUUUUUUGUAUAUAUCUCGCAAACCAAUAAAGCUAUAUAAACCAAACUUUCUGCAGUCGAUUCCCAUAUGUACUCCACCACACACCAUGAAAAUAGCUGAAAUCGGAUAAUAACCAGGCCCACCUCCCAUACAUAGUUUAGACUGAAAAUUGGUAAAAAAUACGUUACCUCCCUAACGAAAAAUAUCAGAAACACUAAAUUUUACAGAAGAAAUGGCGGAAGGAAGAUUUUUCAGCGUCGCCCACUUAUGGGUCAUAAACCAUAUCGCAGGAACUACCAAUUUUAUUAGGACCAAUUUUAUUGAAAUUCGGUACGUAAUAUUUUCUUAACAGUCUGGUGAUACGGAAUAUGGGCGAAAUCGGUUCACAACUUCGCCUACUUCACAUAUAACUAGAUUUUGAAUUACAUCUGAUUUCUUCACUUUAUAAUAUAUACAUUAGGAACCAAUGAAGUCCGCUAUCUUCAAAAACUUUACACAAAUUCCGUAUAUCAUCUGUGGCUUAACUUGUGGAAAAAUUGUCGAAAUCGCACUAUAACUUUUCAAGGCCCAGGAUAUCGAACAUGAAGAACUCACUGCCUAAGGGUAAUUUUUCACCGACUCUAAAUCUCUCAGAUAUUUUAAUUUAAUUUAGAGGGAAUCUUUUUUUUAUAAUUGUGUGUUUCUGUACCAAAAAUGAUUAAAAUCGGGUUAUAACUUCCCUUAGCUCCCAUAUACCUUAUAUUGGGAUCAUCAAAUUUCCGAUUCCGAAUCGACUAAAAUGUGAAAUAUCUUAGCCAAAUUAACAGCCCUAUUCUGUGUACUUCACAAAAUCAAAGUGUAUUCAACAAAGUGAACCAGGUAUAUGACAUAUCACAAUUUUUUACCCGAAUGUGACAUGUUUGUUGCCAUUGAUUUAACCCAUACAUUUAUUCAAAAAUUCAAAUUUUGAAAUUCAAAAGUAAACAAAUUUCAAACCAAAAAAAAAUAUUUUUUAAAUGAAUAAAAGAAAAUGCCGAAUACUUUCUGCUUAGGCAAAACAACUCACGGAAGCAAUUUACUAAGGUUUUGUGCUCCAACUGACAAAUUGCAAACAAUUUUAUCAAUAUAUAUUAUAUUGUUAAAGUUAAAAAAGACAGGUUAAUGUAAACAAAUACAUGUAUUGUUUACUAUUUUAUUGUCAAAAGCGGGUAUGUCAAAUACUUAGUUCACUUUGUUGAAUACACUUUGGACAAAAUAACAAAAAUUUGAAAAUAUUUUCAGAUUUUUAUCAAGUAAGAAAUUUUUUGGUAUUCUGUGACAAUUUUGAUAAAAUAAAAAAGCUUCAGUACGCAUAGCUUUUCCCCACACGUGUGGGAAACAAAAUAAUGUAAACAGAAACAGCUGAUUUCUGUCCAAUUAUAUUGAAUUGAAUUGAAAAAUUUAUUUGAAUUAUUCUAUAAAAAUAAAUUAUUCGCUCUUGGUCUAAACGUGAAGUUUCUGAGAGUGCGCAAAUAUUCCAUGCUCCGAAUCUGGCCCUAUUUUUCAUGCAUAAGAUCGUUAUUUGGAUGAGUGUUUGUUUUAACAGAGCCUUCUUCAUUGUGGCUUCGUUAAUAAGUUUGGUUUACGAUUGACCGGUUAUCAGCCUAUCUAUCCGAUUCUGAUAUCGAGAUAUCGACUGAAGCCUCCCAGACCUGAUGCAAAGUAUUUGGUUUGGUUUUACAACCCUAUUUAUUCUAUAUAGAUGAUAAGGUUAUACCGUCUU